This 481-nucleotide ribosomal RNA is filed under the name uncultured bacterium. RNAcentral describes it as "partial 16S ribosomal RNA". It matches the Rfam family "Bacterial small subunit ribosomal RNA", at positions 28 to 523 of the family's 1533-position model. The record is from RNAcentral.
GACGAACGCUGGCGGCGUGCUUAACACAUGCAAGUCGAACGCUGAAGCCCUUUCGGGGGUGGAUGAGUGGCGAACGGGUGAGUAACACGUGGGUAAUCUGCCCUGCACUCUGGGAUAAGCCUUGGAAACGGGGUCUAAUACCGGAUAGGACACAUCGCCGCAUGGUGUGUGUGUGGAAAGUUCCGGCGGUGCAGGUUGAGCCCGCGGCCUAUCAGCUUGUUGGUGGGGUGAUGGCCUACCAAGGCGACGACGGGUAGCCGGCCUGAGAAGGUGACCGGCCAGACUGGGACUGAGACACGGCCCAGACUCCUACGGGAGGCAGCAGUGGGGAAUCUUGCGCAAUGGGCGAAAGCCUGACGCAGCAACGCCGCGUGGGGGAUGACGGCCUUCGGGUUGUAAACCUCUUUCGACCGGGACGAAGGGUGACUGACGGUACCGGUAGAAGAAGCACCGGCUAACUACGUGCCAGCCGCCGCGGUAA